CCAUAUUUUUAUAUUUCCCCCCAACAUAUCAUAAAGGCAAAAUAUUUGAGCGGCCCAAAAUUUUCAAUCCGAUGAUUUUUUUUUAAUUCUCUUUGCGCCAUUGCUCUGUUAACUCUUUCUCUUCUGCAAUAAAAAUUUUCAAUCCGAUCCAGUUGAUCUGUUAACUCAAUCUCUCCUGCGAUUUUCUUUGAAUCCAUCAGACCCAGCUCCACCAGUUUCUUUUGAAUUAACACCUUCACCGUGGCUUACCAGACGGUGCUGUCUUCAGAUAUAAUCCCCGGGAAGUAAAAGCCGAAUAGUUCACUGAGAGGAAAGCAGCAAAAGAAGCUACAGCUGCGGCGGAGAAGAAGUCACCUGGGUCAUUGACAACUAUUCCUUCAGAGGCUAGCAAUGUUUCAAGGGAUGUCACUAGUCAGCCCGCGAGACCCAUGUCUGACGGGCAGAAACAUUCAGCAGGAUUGUUUCAAGGCAUCUUGGAGUUCUCACAAGUCUAUCCACUUGAAGGGAAAAUUAUCUUCUCUGGCUACUGAAACUCCAACAGAACAAAAUGCAUCCUCACCAAGCGAUAGUUGGAAAUAUUGCUUGAGGAAAGGACAGGAUCAAACGUUGAAAAUUCUGCAUUUUAACUUGACUGGGACGCUAAGGCCCUAUCCAAUAUCAAAAAAGCGUGUUGUACCUGCUCAUAUUGAUCCGACCUGAGUGGGCAAAUGAUGGUAUUCCAAAAAUUGAACCCAAUAGUGAUUUGCAGCAUGCUGUUGAGGUAAUACUUAUGUUGAGUUAGUAAUGGUUUGCAGUUAUAUCCUUCCCCUUCUUUCAAGAUCUUUUUCACUACUUUCUUGUCAUCAGUAACAUUUGAAACAAUCUUCCACGAGACCAACUCCAAGUUGAUUUGUAUGGUGGCAUUAGGUGGAAUCCUAUUUCAAUUGGCAACGACGCAUACAUCUUGGUAAACAAUGCGGGGAUCAAAUUUGAAUGGUGGGCGCCACAACUCAACUUGAUCUAGAUUGAAGCGAAUGAUGAAGAAUUUUUGAAAUAUUUUGAUAUACAUUUAUAUAUAUUUGGUUUUGUGUGGAACUUGGUACAAAUUUUUAUUAUGUUGUUUUCUAAUUAGUAUGUAAAAGACAUUUUUUUGAAGUUCAUUGCAAAUCUAUGCACUUCAAUUAUUUUUUAGCUAA
Capsicum annuum is the source of this 1175-nucleotide long non-coding RNA. RefSeq lists it as uncharacterized. The record is from RefSeq and is a predicted model, not a curated record. The transcript has 8 exons. Lineage: Eukaryota; Viridiplantae; Streptophyta; Magnoliopsida; Solanales; Solanaceae.